This 666-nucleotide ribosomal RNA is filed under the name Escherichia coli. RNAcentral's name for it is "partial 23S ribosomal RNA". It matches the Rfam family "Bacterial large subunit ribosomal RNA", at positions 2180 to 2840 of the family's 2925-position model. The record is from RNAcentral. Lineage: Bacteria; Pseudomonadati; Pseudomonadota; Gammaproteobacteria; Enterobacterales; Enterobacteriaceae.
AUGGAGCCGACCUUGAAAUACCACCCUUUAAUGUUUGAUGUUCUAACGUUGACCCGUAAUCCGGGUUGCGGACAGUGUCUGGUGGGUAGUUUGACUGGGGCGGUCUCCUCCUAAAGAGUAACGGAGGAGCACGAAGGUUGGCUAAUCCUGGUCGGACAUCAGGAGGUUAGUGCAAUGGCAUAAGCCAGCUUGACUGCGAGCGUGACGGCGCGAGCAGGUGCGAAAGCAGGUCAUAGUGAUCCGGUGGUUCUGAAUGGAAGGGCCAUCGCUCAACGGAUAAAAGGUACUCCGGGGAUAACAGGCUGAUACCGCCCAAGAGUUCAUAUCGACGGCGGUGUUUGGCACCUCGAUGUCGGCUCAUCACAUCCUGGGGCUGAAGUAGGUCCCAAGGGUAUGGCUGUUCGCCAUUUAAAGUGGUACGCGAGCUGGGUUUAGAACGUCGUGAGACAGUUCGGUCCCUAUCUGCCGUGGGCGCUGGAGAACUGAGGGGGGCUGCUCCUAGUACGAGAGGACCGGAGUGGACGCAUCACUGGUGUUCGGGUUGUCAUGCCAAUGGCACUGCCCGGUAGCUAAAUGCGGAAGAGAUAAGUGCUGAAAGCAUCUAAGCACGAAACUUGCCCCGAGAUGAGUUCUCCCUGACUCCUUGAGAGUCCUGAAGGAACGUUG